UGGGGAAUUUUGGACAAUGGGGGCAACCCUGAUCCAGCCAUGCCGCGUGCGGGAAGAAGGCCUUCGGGUUGUAAACCGCUUUCGGACGGAAAGAAAUCGCAUGGGCUAAUACCCUGUGUGGAUGACGGUACCGUAAGAAGAAGCACCGGCUAACUACGUGCCAGCAGCCGCGGUAAUACGUAGGGUGCGAGCGUUAAUCGGAAUUACUGGGCGUAAAGCGUGCGCAGGCGGUUUCUUAAGCCAGAUGUGAAAUCCCCGGGCUUAACCUGGGAACUGCAUUUGGAACUGGGAGACUAGAGUGUGUCAGAGGGAGGUGGAAUUCCACGUGUAGCAGUGAAAUGCGUAGAGAUGUGGAGGAACACCGAUGGCGAAGGCAGCCUCCUGGGAUGACACUGACGCU
RNAcentral lists this ribosomal RNA (400 nucleotides) under uncultured bacterium. RNAcentral's name for it is "bacterial SSU rRNA". It matches the Rfam family "Bacterial small subunit ribosomal RNA", at positions 355 to 747 of the family's 1533-position model. The record is from RNAcentral.